This 468-nucleotide ribosomal RNA is filed under the name uncultured bacterium. RNAcentral's name for it is "partial 16S ribosomal RNA". It matches the Rfam family "Bacterial small subunit ribosomal RNA", at positions 28 to 507 of the family's 1533-position model. The record is from RNAcentral.
GAUGAACGCUGACAGAAUGCUUAACACAUGCAAGUCUACUUGAAUUUGGGUUUUUUAACUUAGAUUUGGGUGGCGGACGGGUGAGUAACGCGUAAAGAACUUGCCUCACAGUUAGGGACAACAUUUGGAAACGAAUGCUAAUACCUGAUAUUAUGAAUAUAUGGCAUCAUAUAAUUAUGAAAGCUAUAAGCGCUGUGAGGGAGCUUUGCGUCCCAUUAGCUAAUUGGAGAGGUAACGGCUCACCAAGGCGAUGAUGGGUAGCCGGCCUGAGAGGGUGAACGGCCACAAGGGGACUGAGACACGGCCCUUACUCCUACGGGAGGCAGCAGUGGGGAAUAUUGGACAAUGGACCAAGAGUCUGAUCCAGCAAUUCUGUGUGCACGAUGACGUUUUUCGGAAUGUAAAGUGCUUUCAGUUGGGAAGAAAAAAAUGACGGUACCAACAGAAGAAGUGACGGCUAAAUACGUG